Molecule: long non-coding RNA, 1056 nt
Organism: Hydra vulgaris (swiftwater hydra)
Lineage: Eukaryota; Metazoa; Cnidaria; Hydrozoa; Anthoathecata; Hydridae
Source: RefSeq, a predicted model, not a curated record
CUUUGAAUAAACAAAUAGAACUUGUGUGUAGAACUUGUAAAAACGUAGUAUUGAACUUGCUACAACUAUUAAAAAGUUGUUUUGUUCAUUGGCAUGUCUUUAAAACGAAAAUUGUCUCGAGCGGAAGAGAAGCGUCUUAAACGACUGUAUGAAAUGUUGAAAGGGGGAGAUACCAACAGCACUAUUACUUCUUUCUAUGAAAGAAAACUUCUCCUAGCUCUACCUCUAAACUACUUCUAGCUCUGUAACUAAUUAUUUUUACUAGAUAAUACUUCAAACUCUAACAGAUUUUUGACAGUACUUUUUCUACUGCAUCUCUUGCUACACCUGGCACUGCUGUUACUACUUCUUCUUAUUUUGGCUCUGCAUCCACUGUUACUUCGGCAUCAUCUUCUAGCUCUGUAUUUAAUUUUCUUCUUCGUUUACUAAAUCAGCCAAAAAUGAUGUCAACUCUGCCUCCUCUGUUACAGUCUACCAAAAAAAACAUCUAAGUAAUAGUCCGCAUCAACCUGUGUUUUUUGCAGUCAGAAGCGAUCAUUUUGUCAGCAAUAGUACAUGCUGUUUCCGUGGUUGCAUUAAAACAAAUGUAACAAUACAGUUUUAUGCUACUAUUGUAUGUUAAUGUAAAAGCAUAAAUUAUUAUCUAUAAAAUGCAGCCCGACAUCCGCAAGACGUCCGACGAAAGUCCCUCGGACGACGCGUGCCCACUGGGAGCGAGGAUGUUUUCUCAAAAAAUGGAUUUUCUUAUUUAAAAAAGGUUUACAACAAUUCCAGAAACACCAAAGUACUCUUUUUCAUCGAGAAGACAUUGAGAAGUUUUUAACUUAUUUCAUCGACUAAAGAUAUUAAUGAACUUUUCAAUAAUAAUAACCAGGAAUAUUCAGUUUCUCGCCAAACAAAGUAUUGCUCUGUGUUGUGAUUACAAUACAGACAUAGAGUAUAAAGAAUUUAAUUCGAACUUUUCUCUUUUAUGAUGUUCACAAGUAGAGUUGAGAUGUUCACAAGUAGAGUUGUUACUUGUGCACUUUUUGUUGCAAUGAAAUCUGUUACUUUUUA